CAGCCGCCGCGGGAAUACGGAGGGUGCAAGCGUUAAUCGGAAUUACUGGGCGUAAAGCGCACGCAGGCGGUCUGACAAGUCAGAUGUGAAAUCCCCGGGCUUAACCUGGGAACUGCAUUUGAAACUGUUAGGCUGGAGUCUUGUAGAGGGGGGUGGAAUUCCAGGUGUAGCGGUGAAAUGCGUAGAGAUCUGGAGGAAUACCGGUGGCGAAGGCGGCCCCCUGGACAAAGACUGACGCUCAGGUGCGAAAGUGUGGGGAGCAAACAGGAUUAGAUACCCGAGUAGUCCCUGUCUCUUAUAA
This 301-nucleotide ribosomal RNA is filed under the name uncultured bacterium. Its description in RNAcentral is "partial 16S ribosomal RNA". It matches the Rfam family "Bacterial small subunit ribosomal RNA", at positions 509 to 809 of the family's 1533-position model. The record is from RNAcentral.